This 852-nucleotide long non-coding RNA is filed under the name Mus spicilegus (steppe mouse). RNAcentral describes it as "lncRNA (ENSMSIG00000014506.1)". The record is from RNAcentral. Lineage: Eukaryota; Metazoa; Chordata; Mammalia; Rodentia; Muridae.
UGGCUGGUUUGAUUUAUGACUAGAGGAGAAGGUCCACUUCCUACUGCGAAGCGGGCAAACUGCUCACGGCUCAACUCUGGAAUAAGGAACUCUCGGAGGAGAGGACCCCCGUUCAGGUGGCAUUCUGAUGUACUGGGUCCCUGCAGAAAAGAAAAAGCCACCAUGGCUUGUGCUUCCCACCUGAUGCUGAGAUCUGUGGCUGAAAGGAGAUGGAGGACAAGCCUGGGGACUGGAGCAAGCUGGUACAAGCUUCCAGGAACUAUACCAUAGUCAUCUCCCACAACCUGAAGACCAAGAAGACCUGAAUGAAGCUGCCUUCAGGGUCCAAGAAGGUGAAUUCCUCAGCCAACAGAGCUGUUGUUAAGGGCAAAAUUGGCUAGAGAUGGACAGCUGGCUAACACAGAGCCACAAGGCAAGUUUGUGAUCACCUUGGGUCCUGGAACUCCACCCUGUGCCCCCUCUAUACUAAGGUACCAUGAUUCUUAACCUCUGAAGAUUUAAUGAUGUAAAGGGCAGGGCUGAGUCUGCAAGCAGAGACUCCAUUUGGACAUAGGAACAACUUACAGGUGCCAAAAGGCUUCUCAGUGACUGAUGGAGGUAACAUUGUCAAAGUUAGAUCACAGAUCACAGCCAGAAGGAGGUUCUCCCCACUCUAGACAUCAGCACUGAAUUCUUACCCACUUGAGUUUAUGGGCUGGGAAGUCCUUUACUGCUUUAUUAUAACCCACCUGGUUCCUAGCUCAGUUUUCACUUAUCAAUAAGCUUCAGUUUCCCAAUCUAUCAACUAUUUAACAAAAGAGUCCACAAAGUCAGUGAGUUCCUUGUGCUAGAUACCCGNNNNNNNNNNGGGAA